This 2911-nucleotide long non-coding RNA is filed under the name Gossypium barbadense (sea-island cotton). Its description in RNAcentral is "long non-coding RNA (GBAR_LNC004782)". The record is from RNAcentral. Lineage: Eukaryota; Viridiplantae; Streptophyta; Magnoliopsida; Malvales; Malvaceae.
UUUUUUUUUGCUUCAUUCUUAUUCAAACAAAAACAGAGAACACCCCAUUCCCUUUUCCUCCUUUCGGUUAGGGUUUCUAAACCCAUUUUUUCCGCCGUCAUCGUGGCUCUUUGAAGCCGCCGAGGCUUCCACCGUCGACAGUGGUCAGGGCCACCAAGAUCUAGGUGAGUUUUUCUUUUUUAUUUUUUAUUUAAAAACGAUUUAUAAUGAAAAUAAUGAGAUUAAAUCAAAAGAAAACAAAAAAAGGAAAGAAAUAAACUAAAAGAAUAAGAGAAAUAGAGAUUAAAAUCAACAUUUCUUUCUUCUGUUGUUUUGCUUUUUGAUUUUCAAUAUACUUGUCUAACAGUCUUUUUCUUUUUUUCAAAACAGAAUAACCAAAGAAAAUCAAAAAAACCAGAAAUCCCUCAUCCCUCUUCACAUGGUAAAUUCGGCUUUUAUAGUCGUUUGUACAUGUCAUAGCUUUUUCUUUUUUACUUUUCUUAUUUCUCUGCCUUGUUACUAUUCAAUCACUGUUUUGUAUUGUCUUGCUUUUGCUUGCUAUUGUUUCUUUGCUAAUUUGGUCUUCUUUUGCAGGGAUGGCAGAGGGUGGUUGAAGGUAGAAGGCCCUAGGUGCGACGCACCUAGGGUUUGAAAUUUUAGAUUUUUCUUCUCUUUUUUUGAUUUGGGCUAUUGGGGUUAGUUUGGGCUUGGGUUGGUGUUUAGUUUUUUUAAGGGUAUUGGGUUGGCUGAUAGGUUUAGCUAAUGUUGGGUCUAGGUUUUAUUGGGUAGUUGGGUUUUGAGUUUUAUGUAAAUGGGCCAAAAUUAACCUACAAUAAUAUUUAUGUCUUUUAACAUCUUUACUUUUUCAAAAUUAUAACAUACACUUACCAGGAGGUUGAAACAUCCACCAAUUAACCCCAAACCCUAGCUUAAAGUUUAACGAAGAACGAGAGAAUAUUUGGGUUUAAGAAAAAGAACCUGAAUGUAGAAUAGAAGUAAAAAAAGUCAUCUUAAUGUUCCCUUCUUACCAUAUAUAUAUUCAGUUACUUUUAGUGAAUCUUGACAAAUGUUAAAUGCAUAUAGAAAUUGUCCCUUCAAUGCCCAACAAAGAUUGAGAGAAAUAUAAAAAGAGAAUCCGAUGCAAAUGUUAUUUGGCUUGCCAAUCCAUUCGGUUAACUCCAAACUAGACAUGUUACAAAACUCACUUUGCACAUCGUUCGAGCAAAUCAGACGUACAAUACAUUUAGCAGUAACUCUCAUAAGUCGUACUCUUGAAGACGAUCUAAUCUCUCAAUAUUUUCUCAUACAUUUGAUGUGUGUCAAAACAGGUAACCUUCACAUCUAUUUGCCUCUUUAUUGGAUCUCUUCUAUGCUGUCAUUGUUAACUUUUUAUUUGGCUGUUAACUUUCAAAAUUUAUGUAUUAUUUUUAAUGUCUUAUUUGUCGCUUUCCUCUCUAUUUGAAGUUUUUUGAAUUAUUAAAAAAAAAAGAGAGAGAAAAUAAAUAUUAGCAAUGUACUUUUACAUGUUUUAUAUUUAUUUUAACUAUAAACCUUUUAAGUUCUUUUUCUUUUGGACCAAGCCGUCUAUCCAUCCAACCGACCAAUCCAAUCCCAAGAACAAUCAUCAAAUCUUAAUGAAAUCCAAAUGCAAAACCUAAAUGAAUCUAAUUGCUAAAUUCAAAUAUUAAAAUGAAUAACAAAAAUACAAGUGAAUCUAGUUAUCAUGAUAAUGAGCCAAAAUUUAUAUUAUUACUUAAGAAAACAAUGAGUUGAAGUAAUUGUCAAGACUCUUUUCAUUCACAAGAACAGAUGUAGAUGUUUGUAGUCAGAAAACUGGAAAGCAAAUUGAUUAGCUCUUGAAAUGACAUUACCUACGACAAGGAUUUUAAACAACUGCUAAUUCUAAUCAAAUUUGAUCAAUAAAUUGCAGUGAUACUUGAACUAAGUUGAAAUCAUGAAAUCAUCUUUGGAAGGGUUUUACAAUCAUCCCGACCCAAAUAAGAUUAGACUCAAACUACAAGGGUUCUACAAUCAUAGACCCAAAUAAGAUUACACUUAAACUGCCAAGGGUUUUACAAUCAUCCCCGCCCAAAUAAGAUUAGACUCAAACUGCAACUGCAAAACAAUGAAGACAAAAUCUAGAUGUUAAUCUCAAAAUUACACAUUAGCUUUUUAAUAUAAACAUCUAUUUGAUUCAACUAUAUACAUCACCGUUUCCGGCACAACCGUUUUUUAAGGUUACUAACCCCAUGAAACCAUCAAACCCAAGCUCUUCUUACUUUGAAAAUCAUCUUAACAAUCCCAAACUGAAAACAUCCAAGCAUUUCAACUAUCACACUUCUCAAUCAAUCAUAGCUACAGCAACUAAAACCUAUUUGCUAAUGCCAACAGGCAACACAUAAACAACCUACUAUAAGUCAGCAACCAUAAGAAUCAGUCAAAUAAGAAAGCAAUCAAAUUUAAAUGCUUAAAAGAGAAGAAACAAAAAAAAUAAAACAAGCACAACAUAUAUUGCACAAACACUUCAUUAGCAUUAAAUGAAGAAGCUAUAACAACACCAUUCAUCAUGGACAUCAAAUCAAGGGGGACCCUUACAAGAAUAAUCCAACUUUUUUCACCCCAACCCCUUUCUCAUUCCCAUCUCGACUGCUAGCGUGACAAACAAUUAAAAGAUGAAAAAGGAACCAAACCCAUAUUUCGAAACAUCACAAAACACCAAAGCUUGACGAAAAACACAUUUUUUGGGUUUUUUUAUAAUCACUUUUUAAGGCUACCCCUAACACCAGGACGAGGCUUGGAAGGCUCAACCACAUGAACAGCAUGUAGAUUCACAAGCUUUGACUCUUCAAAGGGAACCUUGGGAUGCUUGGCAUCAUGAUGAAUCUGCAUCGACUUCAAAUCUGGAGCUGUUAUUUUGCAAUGAGGACACUCG